RNAcentral lists this unclassified non-coding RNA (257 nucleotides) under plant metagenome. RNAcentral's name for it is "partial contains small subunit ribosomal RNA and internal transcribed spacer 1". The stretch from base 1 to 46 matches the Rfam family "Eukaryotic small subunit ribosomal RNA", at positions 1786 to 1831 of the family's 1831-position model. The record is from RNAcentral.
AAGUCGUAACAAGGUUUCCGUAGGUGAACCUGCGGAAGGAUCAUUAUUGAAGUUGUGAAUGGGGGCCUUGAUGCUGGCUUGUCCAUUCCUUUGGCUGCAUUGUGCUCGCCCCAGCAUCCUUUCCAACACCGUGUGACACCUUCCUUGUGGGAAUGGGAGAGAAAGGGCUUGCCUCAUUUUAUCUCAGUCUCAUGAUUCAUAAACGCUGUUUGUAAUGUUGAAUGCAUUUAUGCCGUCAAGGCUUUAACCUAAUACAA